AGCUACCUGUGGAUUGGGGCCGUGGUAGAGCGAAGGUAGAAAAUUUGUUACGGAAGGAGCUGGAGUAUCGUUGUGUGAUAUGAGUAAUUAAUUAAUCAAUUUAAUAAAUUAUUAAAUUAAAAAAUGGUGGUGUGGUCGUACCCGCCGACGGCAAGACAAAUGGCGGUAACCGGCGGGGUCUUUGUGGUCGGUGCUUUGUUAUUUGGCGCCGGAGCUUAUCUCUCCUUCAUUAACGUUGCUCCUCAGCAGGCUCGCGCCAAAGAACGUGGUCAAGCAAUUAGAAAUUAUCUCAGGAAGCGCCUCGGUGAUGAUUAAUGCAUCGGUCCAGAGUGAAGUAGAUUGAAGUGGAUCUCGGGUGCUUAUGCAAUGUAACCACUUACCACAGAUAUCAAAGAGCAAGUAUAUGCAUGGCAAGGAAAGCAUUGAGUCGAAAGAUAAGUGCAUUAUGUUCUUUUAACUUGGACUUCCUUAUAUUCUAACCUUGAGUUUAUACCAUUGCUUAUAUAUCUAUAUGGAGGAUUUUGGCCUUCUGCCAUCCAUCGUCGACAACGCUGCUUUAUUUGUUCCCUUAUUACAGAUUUUACAACAUACAUGUCAUAGAGACGAACCUGAUUAUUGAGCCUAAUACCGAUACCACCUCCGAGGAUGAAGAACAUAUUGUGUAUUGUGAUUCACCAUUUUAGUCCCACUUCAUUUGUUGCCUUUGACGUUGCUCCUUAGGAAAUUAAUUAUGCUCUACAUAAUGGUAUUUGUUGAAGUAUGAUGUUAAUUAUGCUCCAUGUGACUUGUUGUAAUCACAUCAUGCAGUUCUUAUUCAUAAAAUUAGCUGAUGUUAACCCAA
This is an RNA transcript of Cicer arietinum (chickpea), 841 nucleotides long. RefSeq lists it as uncharacterized. The record is from RefSeq and is a predicted model, not a curated record. Lineage: Eukaryota; Viridiplantae; Streptophyta; Magnoliopsida; Fabales; Fabaceae.